This 494-nucleotide ribosomal RNA is filed under the name uncultured bacterium. RNAcentral's name for it is "partial 16S ribosomal RNA". It matches the Rfam family "Bacterial small subunit ribosomal RNA", at positions 28 to 507 of the family's 1533-position model. The record is from RNAcentral.
GACGAACGCUGGCGGCGUGCUUAACACAUGCAAGUCGAACGGAAAGGCCUGCUUUCCCUUGUGGAUUGCGGGUACUCGAGUGGCGAACGGGUGAGUAACACGUGAGUGAUCUGCCCCCAACUUGGGUAUAAGCCUGGGAAACUGGGUCUAAUUCCCGAUAGGACUGCAGGGUGGUGCCUGUGGUGGAAAACGAUUUUCUAGUGGUGGGGGAUGAGCUCGCGGCCUAUCAGCUUGUUGGUGGGGUAAUGGCCUACCAAGGCGGCGACGGGUAGCCGGCCUGAGAGGGUGGACGGCGACAUUGGGACUGAGAUACGGCCCAGACUCCUACGGGAGGCAGCAGUGGGGAGUAUUGCACAAUGGGCGGAAGCCUGAUGCAGCGACGCCGCGUGGGGGAUGACGGCCUUCGGGUUGUAACCUCCUUUCGACCGCGAGGAAGCCACCUGGUUGGAAGGGUGGUGACGGUAGUGGUAGAAGAAGCACCGGCUAACUACGUG